CGGAAGUUGGCCUCCCGCAACCUAUUUCGCACCUCGGCACCGGACGGGCUCCGAGCGGCCCUUCGGGGGACCGCAGCGCUGCCGUGUUCGGCCCGGGGGGUGCGGGUGGGUGCUUGAGUUGAACUGUGAUUGUCAUCCCCUCAUGGGACAACUGGGAAGGCAUCACUGGAGAAGGAGAACCAAAGGCAGACUUUUGGAGAACGGUGAAAGGAGAAGCUUUGAGUAUCUUGAGAGGAAUUGUGCUGGUGAUUUCUGCAGGCUUACAAAUAUCUGUUAUCUGUAGCCCAUGUCACAAGCAAUUGCAGCCAUCUUAGGACUCGACUUCCCACCAUCAAGGAUCUGUUGCAAAAUGUGAAAAUGAAAGGGGGAAAGUCUACAGGUAGCACUGAUCCCAGCCAACCUUUGUAUCGCGUGUGUUUGCCUGGUAAGCUUGCAUUUCACAUCACACGUGGAUAAACACAGCUCAAGGCCCAAACAGGUGACUGGCCCACGAGAAAGGACUUGUGGCAGCUUGGGAACACACUUACACUGCCUCUUCCUUCUGUACAUAGCAAGAAGAAACUUGUUUGUGAGCAACUGCUCUGCAGCUGUAACCAGGUCUCCCUGCUUUCUGUGAAUGCUGCUUUCUUGUCUCCUGCUGUCAAAUACAGCACUGAGGGGUGGUGUGGGCACUCUGCUGGCCAGCUGCCCCUACCAAGGUGAGUGCCUCUCUAUUAAACUGAUGGAUAUUAA
This is a long non-coding RNA of Lagopus leucura (white-tailed ptarmigan), 732 nucleotides long. RefSeq lists it as uncharacterized. The record is from RefSeq and is a predicted model, not a curated record. Lineage: Eukaryota; Metazoa; Chordata; Aves; Galliformes; Phasianidae. The transcript has 4 exons.